GUUUAUAUCUUCUUUAUUGCUAAAGGAAAAAAAAAAAGAGAUAUUCUACAUUGCCAUAUUCUUCAUUGUUACUCUUAUCACCUCCAAUAAUCUGAUUUUUUUUUCUCUCUUUUAUCAUCAUUGUCUUCCUUGUGUGGCUUGAGACUUGUGGUGAGAACAAAUUAGGAAACACUAAUUUACUCAAGAUUGUUUAGUAUGAGAAGAUAUUGGGUGUUUGAAAACCAAAUAAACAGAAUGAGAUUUGAGUGUGUCAAGAAGAAAAACGUUGAAUAUAUAGAAAAAUAAUUGGGUUCACCCCCUAGAAUAAUCU
Arabidopsis thaliana (thale cress) is the source of this 310-nucleotide long non-coding RNA. RefSeq annotates it as other RNA. The transcript has a single exon. Lineage: Eukaryota; Viridiplantae; Streptophyta; Magnoliopsida; Brassicales; Brassicaceae. The record is from RefSeq.